This is a non-coding RNA of Choloepus didactylus (southern two-toed sloth), 480 nucleotides long. The record is from the annotation of a RefSeq genome assembly. NCBI's taxonomy places the organism in Eukaryota, Metazoa, Chordata, Mammalia, Pilosa, Megalonychidae.
GAAGCUCUCCUCAGCCAGGGGAUAAGAGAGGCCUGGGGGGACCAGCCCAUCCUAGAGGCCUGAGAGAGCAGAUCUGGGGGCACCUCCACCAUGGCCUGGACCCCUCUCCUCCUCACCCUCCUGGCUCACUGCGCAGGUUCUGUGGCCUCCUUUGAGCUGACCCAGCCACACUCAGUGUCAGUGGCCCUGGGGCAGACGGCCAGGCUCACCUGCUCUGGAGGAAAAUUUGAGGACAGAUAUGCUUGCUGGUACCAGCAGAAGCCAGAUCGGGCCCCUAAGCUAGUCAUCUAUGAGGAUAGCAAGCGGCCCUCAGGGAUCCCUGACCGAUUCUCUGGCUCCAGCUCUGGGAACACAGCCACCCUGACCAUAAGUGGGGUCCAGACUGAGGAUGAGGCCGACUAUUACAGUCUGUCAUCAGAAAGUGAGAGCAGUGCUUCUCACACCCCAGGAGGACUGAGGACAAGCAAUGUGCAGGCCUAG